GAAUCUUCCGCAAUGGACGAAAGUCUGACGGAGCAACGCCGCGUGAGUGAUGAAGGUUUUCGGAUCGUAAAACUCUGUUGUUAGGGAAGAACAAGUACCGUUCGAAUAGGGCGGUACCUUGACGGUACCUAACACGAAAGCCACGGCUAACGACGUGCCAGAAGCCGCGGUAAUACGGAGGUGGCAAGCGUUGUCCGGAAUUAUUGGGCGUAAAGCGGGCGCAGGCGGUCUUUUAAGUCUGAUGUGAAAGCCCCCGGCUCAACCGGGGAGGGUCAUUGGAAACUGGGAGACUUGAGUGCAGAAGAGAAGAGUGGAAUUCCACGUGUAGCGGUGAAAUGCGUAGAGAUGUGGAGGAACACCAGUGGCGAAGGCGACUCUUUGGUCUGUAACUGACGCUGAGGCGCGAAAGCGUGGGGAGCAAACAGG
Molecule: ribosomal RNA, 426 nt
Filed under: uncultured bacterium
Lineage: Bacteria
Description: bacterial SSU rRNA
Rfam family: Bacterial small subunit ribosomal RNA
Source: RNAcentral